GACCGUGCAAAGGUAGCAUAGUCAUUAGUUCUUUAAUUGUGAUCUGGUAUGAAUGGCUUGACGAGACAUGGGCUGUCUUAAGGUAUGGAAUUUGUUGUUGAAUUUUGAGUUUGAGUUAAAAUUCUUAGAUGUUUUUAUGGGACGAGAAGACCCUAUAGAGUUUAACAUUUGAUUGCGUAUAUCUUGUUGUUUGUUUUUAAUUUUUACGUGUCUACUUGUUUUGUUGGGGUGAUGGGAGGAAUUUA
Molecule: ribosomal RNA, 245 nt
Filed under: Odontotermes obesus
Lineage: Eukaryota; Metazoa; Arthropoda; Insecta; Blattodea; Termitidae
Description: partial large subunit ribosomal RNA
Source: RNAcentral